UACGGAGGGUGCAAGCGUUAUCCGGAUUUACUGGGUUUAAAGGGUGCGUAGGUGGCCAUUUAAGUCAGAGGUGAAAGUUUGUCGCUUAACGAUGAGAUUGCCUUUGAUACUGAGUGGCUUGAAUGGGUAUGAGGUUGGCGGAAUGUGGCAUGUAGUGGUGAAAUACUUAGAUAUGCCAUAGAACACCAAUUGCGAAGGCAGCUGACUAAUACUUUAUUGACACUGAGGCACGAAAGUGUGGGUAGCGAACAGG
RNAcentral lists this ribosomal RNA (253 nucleotides) under uncultured bacterium. RNAcentral's name for it is "partial 16S ribosomal RNA". It matches the Rfam family "Bacterial small subunit ribosomal RNA", at positions 524 to 776 of the family's 1533-position model. The record is from RNAcentral.